CCGUAGCCAUUUUAGCUGAAG
RNAcentral lists this small RNA (21 nucleotides) under Karenia brevis. RNAcentral's name for it is "trans-spliced leader sequence SL". The record is from RNAcentral. Lineage: Eukaryota; Dinophyceae; Gymnodiniales; Kareniaceae.